Molecule: transfer RNA, 63 nt
Filed under: Terebratulina retusa
Lineage: Eukaryota; Metazoa; Brachiopoda; Rhynchonellata; Terebratulida; Cancellothyrididae
Description: transfer RNA-Ala
Source: RNAcentral
GGUGCUAUACUUUAAAAUAAAAGACUUGACCUGCAAUCAAAAAAUGAGACUUCUCUAGCACAG